This 253-nucleotide ribosomal RNA is filed under the name uncultured bacterium. Its description in RNAcentral is "partial 16S ribosomal RNA". It matches the Rfam family "Bacterial small subunit ribosomal RNA", at positions 524 to 776 of the family's 1533-position model. The record is from RNAcentral.
UACGUAGGGUGCGAGCGUUAAUCGGAAUUACUGGGCGUAAAGCGUGCGUAGGCGGUUCGCUGUGUCCGAUGUGAAAGCCCCGGGCUUAACCUGGGAAUGGCAUUGGAAACUGGCGGGCUUGAGUGCGGCAGAGGGGGGUGGAAUUCCGCGUGUAGCAGUGAAAUGCGUAGAGAUGCGGAGGAACACCGAUGGCGAAGGCAGCCCCCUGGGCCAAUACUGACGCUCAGGCACGAAAGCGUGGGGAGCAAACAGG